CAGCAGCCACGGGAAUACGAAGGGUGCAAGCGUUACUCGGAAUUACUGGGCGUAAAGCGUGUGUAGGUGGUUGUUUAAGUCUGUCGUGAAAGCCCUGGGCUCAACCUGGGAAUUGCGAUGGAUACUGGGCGACUAGAGUGCGGUAGAGGAUAGUGGAAUUUCCGGUGUAGCAGUGAAAUGCGUAGAGAUCGGAAGGAACAUCUGUGGCGAAGGCGACUAUCUGGGCCAACACUGACACUGAGACACGAAAGCGUGGGGAGCAAACAGGAUUAGAUACCCCAGUAGUCCCUGUCUCUUAUAC
This 301-nucleotide ribosomal RNA is filed under the name uncultured bacterium. Its description in RNAcentral is "partial 16S ribosomal RNA". It matches the Rfam family "Bacterial small subunit ribosomal RNA", at positions 509 to 807 of the family's 1533-position model. The record is from RNAcentral.